Long non-coding RNA from Fundulus heteroclitus (mummichog), 1344 nucleotides. RefSeq lists it as uncharacterized. Lineage: Eukaryota; Metazoa; Chordata; Actinopteri; Cyprinodontiformes; Fundulidae. The record is from RefSeq and is a predicted model, not a curated record. The transcript is spliced from 4 exons.
UCAAAAGUGUUAAAUAAUGUGGUGUUAGUAGACUUUGCUCAAAGGCAGUGUUAAUUUAGCUCUUAAUAGAGUUAUAUUAUACAAAUUUAACUCUGAGGUCUCAAAUUUUAGUAGUUAAAAUUGAGUGUUAAAAAAUAAUGUUGCAUAACAAAUCUGGGGGUGUUAAAAUGGAAAAAAACAACUCUUUGUUUAUCAACUCUGAACUCCUAUAGUGGAUUUGACACCCAAAGAGUACAUUCACAGACUCCGCCUCCAAUGCUACAGGAACCGAACGAAGCUGAGGAAAACUUUACUCUCCAUUUUGCUGUUAUAAAGACCCGUUUACCCAGCCUGAUUGAUCAGGAUUUCUCGAUGAUGUUUGGGGAUGAAGUUUCUGGAAGAUUUCUCACGAAGUGGCUUUCAUAUUUCAAGCAAAAAAGUGUUCACAGAAAGCCAAAGUCUUUCAUCAAGACCCUGGGUUGACGAGUUACAAGCUUCUGUUGACCCGGAACAUCCAUCUGUCUUUGGCUGGGAUAGUGACAUUGCAGCUCUUCUGCUGUUGCUGCAUCUGCUGCCCCCCACAUCUAGAGGCCACAAAAAAAACCCAGCAAAGAUUAGCUCUGCACAGGCAGCCAAUCAUCUCCUAAGAUUUGUCAAGGAAGGAGUCAGCCUUACUACUUUCCUGAAGCAAGUGGACACCAGACAACCAUUCCUUCUCUGCAAGAACAUUCAGAGAUUUUUCAUUGUUGUGGAUCAGAGAGCUAUCCCCUGUGAUGCUCCAACAUCAGUGGCUGCUUUUGAUGGGCUAUUCAAAGCACACUUUGUCUUCAGCCUGUCAUAUGAUGAGGCUCUUUGCAGUUUUUACACAUUUAGUUUUUACACAAAACUAUUGUUUCAAAAGAUUUGAAUAUGGUCCUUUAAAAUCAAGAGCAGCCAAUGGCCUGGAAGGUGGAGAUCUACUUUCUAACACCUUAAAUCUGGAUUCAUGCUGAAAUAUUUUAACUACAAACUGGGUACGAAAUUAUGGCACUGAAUACCAGGUUUGGACUGUAUUUAUGUACUGCAAUGUUCAAUGAUCUACCUGUGUUUAAUACAACUUGUCAUAUUAUAAUACAUGAACAGCAGGCAUUCAUAAUAAGCUGUACUGCCAACACUUUGUACUUUGAUGAACAUACCGUAUUGAAGAAAAAAAAUAAUGAGCAUGUUAUUAUUUGCAUCGGCAAGCUCACCUAUGUCAGACCUUUUGAUAGGCAAUAUUCUAAUAAAAGUGAGAACAUGUAUAUUGUUCCACAUUGCUACAUGUUUUGAAAAAUAUUUUCUAAUUGUGGUGCACUUUUGAAAUAAAUAUUUGCUGAGAAAAACUAA